Molecule: ribosomal RNA, 150 nt
Filed under: uncultured Bacillus sp.
Lineage: Bacteria; Bacillati; Bacillota; Bacilli; Caryophanales; Bacillaceae
Description: partial 16S ribosomal RNA
Rfam family: Bacterial small subunit ribosomal RNA
Source: RNAcentral
UGACGGAGCAACGCCGCGUGAGUGAUGAAGGCCUUCGGGUCGUAAAACUCUGUUGUUAGGGAAGAACAAGUACCGGAGUAACUGCCGGUACCUUGACGGUACCUAACCAGAAAGCCACGGCUAACUACGUGCCAGCAGCCGCGGUAAUAC